Corticium candelabrum is the source of this 726-nucleotide long non-coding RNA. RefSeq lists it as uncharacterized. The transcript is spliced from 4 exons. Lineage: Eukaryota; Metazoa; Porifera; Homoscleromorpha; Homosclerophorida; Plakinidae. The record is from RefSeq and is a predicted model, not a curated record.
GCACGCACGUGUGUAGAAAUUUUCUUCAACAUGUUUAUGGAAAACAUGGUCAGGAAACACCACUCAGUUGAAAUUUGAUGUUUGCUUGAAGCCCGAUGUACGUAAAGCUGAUAUAACUGAGGUGACAGUAGAGAUACGAGCUUGUAGUGAUUCUACAUCUACUUCCUUGACAGUUUCUCUAGCUGAUGUAUUGAAAGAUGACACGGAAAACGAGAAUCAUUCAGUUGGAAAUGAUGAACAUUGGCCAAUUGUUCACACGCACAAUAUUACUGGAGCUCAAUAUGUUGUAGCCGGCAGCAGUCCUACCUUACAGAUUUCUCUAAGUGGGAGCAAGUUGCCCCUCCUUUCUGAUACUGGCAUAUUAGCAACAAACAGUGACUCUCCAACACUACCAAAAAGUCAACAAUGAAAUUGUUGAAUGCUAAUGUUUUGAAGAGAAUCGUGGUCCUUGACUGGCCAGCACAAAUCUUUUACUCAAAACAUUAAAAUUUCAAUUGAUAGAAUGAUAGUCAUGUAGUUGAGAAAUAUGUGUGUAGCUAGGUAUUGAAAGUAUAUUUGCAUGCAAGUGCCACAUUUAGCAAUUAUUGUACAGAGUAUUUAGUAGUUUAUGUGUUGUACAUACUGUACUGAACUAUUUGUUAUGCAAGUAUUGCUGUAACAACUUUUGUAAUGUUGGAGAGUAGCAAAGUACACAACAACUAUCUUGUAGAUCAACAACAAACACAC